GAUGAAGAACGUAGCGAAAUGCGAUACGUAGUGUGAAUUGCAGAAUUCAGUGAAUCAUCGAAUCUUUGAACGCACAUUGCACCUCUCGGUAUUCCGGGAGGUAUGCCUGUUCGAGCGUCAUUUGUACCCUCAAGCUCUGCUAGGUGUUGGGUGUUUGUUCCGCCUCUGUGUGUGAACUCGCCUCAAAACAAUUGGCAGCCGGCGUACUUGUUUCGGAGCGCAGCACAUUUUGCGAUCCAGAUCAACGUACAGCGGCAUCCAAGAAGCCUUAUUUAACGCUCUUGACCUCGGAUCAGGUAGGGAUACCCGCUGAACUUAAGCAUAUCAAUAAGCGGAGGA
Molecule: unclassified non-coding RNA, 339 nt
Filed under: soil metagenome
Description: partial contains 5.8S ribosomal RNA, internal transcribed spacer 2, and large subunit ribosomal RNA
Rfam family: 5.8S ribosomal RNA (bases 1-120)
Source: RNAcentral